This 720-nucleotide ribosomal RNA is filed under the name uncultured anaerobic ammonium-oxidizing bacterium. RNAcentral's name for it is "bacterial SSU rRNA". It matches the Rfam family "Bacterial small subunit ribosomal RNA", at positions 565 to 1274 of the family's 1533-position model. The record is from RNAcentral.
GAGCACGUAGGUGGGUUUGUAAGUCAGGUGUGAAAGCCUUCUGUUCAACGGAAGAAUUGCAUCUGAAACUGCGAGUCUUGAGUGUAGGAGGGGAGAAUGGAACUUCUGGUGGAGCGGUGAAAUGCGUAGAUAUCAGAAGGAACGCCGGCGGCGAAAGCGAUUCUCUGGCCUAUUACUGACACUCAGUGUGCGAAAGCUAGGGGAGCAAACGGGAUUAGAUACCCCGGUAGUCCUAGCCGUAAACGAUGGGCACUAAGUAGAGGGAAUUACCGAUGUUCUCUCUGCCGUAGCUAACGCAUUAAGUGCCCCGCCUGGGGAGUACGGCCGCAAGGCUAAAACUCAAAAGAAUUGACGGGGGCUCGCACAAGCGGUGGAGCAUGUGGCUUAAUUCGAUGCAACGCGAAAAACCUUACCGGGGCUUGACAUGGUAGAAGUAGGAACCCGAAAGGGUAACGAACGGUAUCCAGUCCGUAGCUAUCACAGGUGUUGCAUGGCUGUCGUCAGCUCGUGUCGUGAGACGUUGGGUUAAGUCCCCUAACGAGCGAAACCCUUGUUUUUAGUUACCAGCGGGUUAUGCCGGGUACUCUAGAAAGACUGCCGUCGUCAAGACGGAGGAAGGUGGGGAUGAUGUCAAGUCAUCAUGGCCCUUAUGCCCCGGGCUGCACACGUGCUACAAUGGUCGGUACAAACGGAAGCGAAGCCGAGAGGUGAAGCGAAUCC